Molecule: ribosomal RNA, 858 nt
Filed under: uncultured bacterium
Lineage: Bacteria
Description: bacterial SSU rRNA
Rfam family: Bacterial small subunit ribosomal RNA
Source: RNAcentral
GUUUUCUUCGGAAAGCGAGUAGAGUGGCGCACGGGUGAGUAACGCGUAGGUAAUCUACCCUUAUGACUGGGAUAACAUUGGGAAACUGGUGCUAAUACCGGAUACACUUCUUUACUGCGGGGUAAAGGAGNAGNGGUGGCCUCUUCAUGAAAGCUACCGUAUAGGGAUGAGCCUGCGUACCAUUAGCUAGUAGGCGGGGUAACGGCCCACCUAGGCAACGAUGGUUAGCGGGUCUGAGAGGAUGAUCCGCCACACUGGAACUGGAACACGGACCAGACUCCUACGGGAGGCAGCAGUGAGGAAUAUUGCGCAAUGGGGGAAACCCUGACGCAGCGACGCCGCGUGAGUGAGGAAGGUUUUCGGAUCGUAAAGCUCUGUCAGAAGGGAAGAAGUGUUAUAUGGUUAACACCCAUAUAAUUUGACGGUACCUUCAGAGGAAGCACCGGCUAACUCCGUGCCAGCAGCCGCGGUAAUACGGAGGGUGCAAGCGUUGUUCGGAAUUACUGGGCGUAAAGGGCGCGUAGGCGGCUGGAUAAGUCAGAUGUGAAAGUCCAUGGCUCAACUGUGGAAGUGCAUUUGAAACUGUCCGGCUUGAGUAUCGGAGGGGAGUGUGGAAUUCCCGGUGUAGAGGUGAAAUUCGUAGAGAUCGGGAGGAACACCGGUGGCGAAGGCGACACUCUGGACGAAUACUGACGCUGAGGCGCGAAAGCGUGGGGAGCAAACAGGAUUAGAUACCCUGGUAGUCCACGCCGUAAACGAUGUGAACUAGGGAUAGGGGGUGUUGAUCCCUCCUGUCCCGCAGCUAACGCAUUAAGUUCCCCGCCUGGGGGAGUACGGUCGCAAGAUUAAACUCAAAGG